UUUUAUAUUGCUUGUUUUAUCUGACGAUACAAAUUCAGAGUAUGUGGACUCCGGCGAGCUCGCGUCGGCAGAAUUGAUCUUCCGCCAACGGCUGUUUCCAACGUCUCGCCGAAGUAACGUCGAGUUGUCAAGGGUGGGAGUUCCUUUUCAGGAGUCUCGGUAAUGAUCCUUCCGCAGGUUCACUGUAAACGUUAGUUGGGAAUUACUAGAUAGAAAGAAAACUGACCCUACGGAAA
RNAcentral lists this unclassified non-coding RNA (236 nucleotides) under uncultured fungus. RNAcentral describes it as "sequence contains ITS1". The record is from RNAcentral. Lineage: Eukaryota; Fungi.